AGUGAACGCUGGCGGCAGGCCUAACACAUGCAAGUCGAGCGGCAGCGGGAGGUAGCUUGCUACCUUGCCGGCGAGCGGCGGACGGGUGAGGAACACAUCGGAAUCUGCCCAGUUGUGGGGGAGAACGUAGGGAAACUUACGCUAAUACCGCAUACGACCUACGGGUGAAAGCAGGGGACCUUCGGGCCUUGCGCGAUGGGAUGAGCCGAUGUCGGAUUAGUUAGUUGGUGUGGUAAAGGCCCACCAAGGCGACGAUCCGUAGCUGGUCUGAGAGGAUGAUCAGCCACACUGGAACUGAGACACGGUCCAGACUCCUACGGGAGGCAGCAGUGGGGAAUAUUGGACAAUGGGCGCAAGCCUGAUCCAGCCACGCCGCGUGUGUGAAGAAGGCCUUCGGGUUGUAAAGCACUUUUGUACGGGAAGAAACCUUCCGGGUUAAUACCCUGGGAGACUGACGGUACCGUAAGAAUAAGCACCGGCUAACUUCGUGCCAGCCGCCGCCGUAA
This 506-nucleotide ribosomal RNA is filed under the name uncultured bacterium. RNAcentral describes it as "partial 16S ribosomal RNA". It matches the Rfam family "Bacterial small subunit ribosomal RNA", at positions 29 to 523 of the family's 1533-position model. The record is from RNAcentral.